Long non-coding RNA from Apodemus sylvaticus (European woodmouse), 1935 nucleotides. RefSeq lists it as uncharacterized. The transcript has 3 exons. NCBI's taxonomy places the organism in Eukaryota, Metazoa, Chordata, Mammalia, Rodentia, Muridae. The record is from RefSeq and is a predicted model, not a curated record.
GCCUUGUUUUCUUGGUGUUCUCCAUUCCCCCUUGCUCCUACACUCUUUCUGCCUCUUCUUCCACAGGGUUCUGUGAGCCUUGAAGGGAGGAAUUUGAUGAAGUCAGUCCACUAAGGACAGAAUGUAUGUCACUCUCUGCACAUUGUCCAGCUGUGUAUCUCUGUUUUUAUUCCCAUCUACUGCAGAAAGGAGCUUCUCCAAUAAUGGCCAAGCAACACACUGACCUAUGAGUAUAGCAGAAUGUCAUCAGGAGUCAUUUUAUUGAUCUUGUGCUUCAGAUACUCUACUGAAGAGGAACAAGGAACUACAGAGGAAAAUGAAAUCAUUAAGUUUUCAGAUCCCAAACUUGAGCUGUGAGCAUAGAAGCUAGAGUAGCCACAGAAACUAGGAAAGUAAAAAGAGGAUCAAGAGGAUGUCUUGGCGUCCCCACUGCUGUGAUGGAAACACCAUGACCAAAACCAACUUGGAGAGGAAAGGGUUUAUUUAAAUUUACAUCUCUGAGGGAGCCAGAGCUGUAGCAGAGGCCAUGCAAGGCUGCUACUUUCUGGCUUGUUCCUCAUAGCUUGCCCAGCCUGUUUUCCUACAGAACCAGAAUCACCAGCACUGGGAUGGCACUGCCCCUAGUGAGCUGAGCCCUUACACAUCAAUCUCCAAUCAAGAAAAUGCACCACAGGAUUGCCCACAACCCAGUGUGGUGGGAUAUUUUCUCUAGAAGAUCGCUCUCUCAAGAUGAUUCUAUCUGGGGUCAAGUUGACAGAAGUGGCGGGCUAGAUAGGGAGAAUGCUAAACACAGGUGAUAUCAAAGAGGGAAUGGGAAAAACAAGGAGGGGACCUCUUACUUGAGAAGAGGUCAGUCCACAAGGACAGAGGGUCCUGCGGGACAAAUAGCACUGAGGAUGCUUGGGAAAGCCUUAAGGAGAUGUAUUGCUUUGUAUUUGCCUAAAAUUACAUACAAUACAUGUAAGUGUACAGGCAUGAGAAAUGGGCUUUAGAGUUGUUGGUUAAGGGGAGUCCAAGAGACUCCCCACACAUUGUAGGCUGUUACUAUUGUCCUUGGUUGCCCCUCAGAGGUUGGAGGUAAGUCCUUAUUGCUGAAGACGCAACUUACUUCAGACACAGAACUUAGAAGAUUCGAGUUGGACCCAACCUGAAAGCUUCUUCCCUGGAGACUAGUUUUUAUAGCCUGAGAAGGUGCUGUUUAGACUGCCAUGGGAGUUGUUCCCAGAUGUAAAGUCUGUGAAACUCAGAAAAGAGCAGCAUGACAAGAUAUGUCUAAAGACACAGCACUGUCACUCAUACCUUGGCGUCAACCAGCAGCUUGAUAAUGGGACAGAAGGCCCACUCAACAAAAGGGAAGCCAUGCCUGGUACCGGAAACCUAGCAGGUGAGCCGGGGCUACUAAGCUCAUGGAUCUCAGAGAACCUACUCCAACCACUGAACUAGGGCAGCAGAACCCCUCACUGCAUAUAAGCUCCCAACUCACAUCAAAAAAGCCUCUGCAACAGCCAGGAAACCACAAGAGGUCAAAGUGCAAAAACUAACUGAUCAUGGGGUGAGCAGCCCCAAUGGACAAUCUACAAUAUAACUCCUGCACCUUGGGCUCAGGGAGAGUCAUGGAAGAGGAGACAGAAUGUGUGAGCCAGAGGACACGGGAAAAGUGAGACUGUGUCCUAGGAAUGACAGGGACGCUUCAUCAAUGAUACCUCAACAAAAUGGCUACCUAAACAAGUUCUGAACAAGCACAACAUCAAUAGACAUAUUACUAUUGAGGAAUCUCAUGGGGCUCCACCUUUAGAUAGGAAUUAAGAGAUGUUGAAAAUAGGAGAAGUAUUUCCCCCUCCUGGGGUGGGGGGGAAGAAUAACUGCUAAGUGGUUAUCCAAUAUAAAAAGUAGCACUGAAAUCAUUUACUUGAUAAAAGUACUUAAUGAACUGAG